Molecule: ribosomal RNA, 464 nt
Filed under: uncultured bacterium
Lineage: Bacteria
Description: partial 16S ribosomal RNA
Rfam family: Bacterial small subunit ribosomal RNA
Source: RNAcentral
GACGAACGCUGGCGGCGUGCUUAACACAUGCAAGUCGAACGGUAAGGCCCUAGCUUGCUGGGGUACACGAGUGGCGAACGGGGGAGUAACACGUGGGUGACCUGCCCUGCACUUCGGGAUAAGCCUGGGAAACUGGGUCUAAUACCGGAUAGGAUCGCACCGUGAGGGGGUGGUGGAAAGUUUUUCGGUGUUGGAUGGGCCCGCGGCCUAUCAGCUUGUUGGUGGGGUAAUGGCCUACAAGGGCGGCGACGGGUAGCCGGCCUGAGAGGGUGGACGGAUACAUUGGGACUGAGACACGGCCCAGACUCCUACGGGAGGCAGCAGUGGGGAAUAUUGCACAAUGGGCGGAAGCCUGAUGCAGCGACGCCGCGUGUGUGAUGACGGCCUUCGGGUUGUAAACUCCUUUCACCAUCGACGAAGGUUUUCUGACGGUAGAUGGAGAAGAAGCACCGGCUAACUACGUG